This 261-nucleotide long non-coding RNA is filed under the name Spirodela polyrhiza (greater duckweed). RNAcentral describes it as "long non-coding RNA (SPOL_LNC001206)". The record is from RNAcentral. Lineage: Eukaryota; Viridiplantae; Streptophyta; Magnoliopsida; Alismatales; Araceae.
AAUCCUCCUCCUCCAAGCUACUCCAAGUAUUUAAAUAAUGAAAUAGACUAAUGACUCAAGCAAGAGAAAAUAUUGCUUCAAGAUGAGAUCACAAAAUUAACUCUCAAUGAAAAGGCUAUAAAAGAGUGGAUACCUCAAACUUUUGAGACAUUUUAAAAAUAUCUAGUACCCAAGUAAACUUAAGUUUAUUUGAGAAGGAACUCUGGAGGAUCAAAAUAUAAUAUUUUAUUGGAGGAUAUAGUAGGACAAAGUAGAUAGGUU